This 468-nucleotide ribosomal RNA is filed under the name uncultured bacterium. RNAcentral's name for it is "partial 16S ribosomal RNA". It matches the Rfam family "Bacterial small subunit ribosomal RNA", at positions 28 to 507 of the family's 1533-position model. The record is from RNAcentral.
GACGAACGCUGGCGGCGUGCUUAACACAUGCAAGUCGAACGGAAAGGCCCUGCUUUUGUGGGGUGCUCGAGUGGCGAACGGGUGAGUAACACGUGAGUAACCUGCCCUUGACUUUGGGAUAACUUCAGGAAACUGGGGCUAAUACCGGAUAGGAGCUCCUGCUGCAUGGUGGGGGUUGGAAAGUUUCGGCGGUUGGGGAUGGACUCGCGGCUUAUCAGCUUGUUGGUGGGGUAGUGGCUUACCAAGGCUUUGACGGGUAGCCGGCCUGAGAGGGUGACCGGGGACAUUGGGGGAGGGAGACGGCCCAGAGUCCUCCGGGGGGGAGAGGUGUGGAGUAUAGCGCAAUAGGCGGAGGCCUGUGGUGGCGCAGCGGCGUGCGGGAUAACGGCGUUCGGGUUGUGUACCGCGUUCGCCUGUGAGAAGGCGUGAGUGACGGGGAUAGGUGAAGAAGCACCGGCUAACUACGUG